GGCGAAUAUAUUGUAAACAGUGUCGCUUCACUGUCAAAAAGUGAUCGAGACAAUCAGCGAAGUAUUUUAAACUAUAGUUGAUACCAAUAAUUUUUUGACUCAAUCCACCCUACAAGUUCACUAAGAAAUGGCGCCAAAUAUUGAUUGUCCAAAAUUAUCUACAAAUAUCUAAAAAAGAAACAGCAAUGUGAUUCGGUAGAAAAUUAAUCACCAGCACUACAGGUUUAAAUAAACAAACAUCUUUUGACUGUAUUUCAAUAAAGAACUUUAUUU
Long non-coding RNA from Drosophila innubila, 273 nucleotides. RefSeq lists it as uncharacterized. Lineage: Eukaryota; Metazoa; Arthropoda; Insecta; Diptera; Drosophilidae. The transcript is spliced from 2 exons. The record is from RefSeq and is a predicted model, not a curated record.